CCCCCCCUGCUAUAAAUCCAUUCCCCUUUGUCUCCUCCUCUGCACUAUAUCUUUUGCAGCACAAUUCAGGGCCGGAAUCCCGGUUGCCAAAACUGCCUCAUCUGGCCCUGUGAGCUCUAGGCUGGCCGCGAAUGGGGAGGCACUCUUGCUGCUACAAGCAGAAGCUGAGGAAAGGGUUGUGGUCUCCGGAGGAGGACGAGAAGCUUGUGAAGCACAUCGCCAAGUAUGGCCAUGGCUGUUGGAGCUCUGUCCCCAAGCUAGCAGACCUGCAGAGGUGCGGAAAGAGCUGCAGAUUGAGGUGGAUCAACUACCUGAGGCCUGAUCUGAAGAGGGGCACCUUCUCGCAGCAAGAGGAGAAACUCAUCAUCGAGCUCCAUGCAGCCGUCGGCAACAGGUGGUCUCAGAUUGCGGCCCAGUUGCCGGGAAGAACCGAUAACGAGAUCAAGAACUACUGGAACUCAUGCAUCAAGAAGAAGUUGAGGCAGAGCGGCAUCGAUCCGAGCACCCACAGACCACUCAGCGAGGUCGAGGGAGGAGACGACAAAGAAGCCAUGGCCGGCGGCAGAAGCUCCACCUCCGCACCACCACCAUCCCAUACCAUCGAAUGCACUCCUCUUCUACAAGCAAAUGAUGUUGUUGUUCCGUCAUCGAUCUCAAUCUCCGUGCCAGACCUCCGGUGUUUGGAGGCCGGCAGUUGCAGCAACACCAGCGCAAACAGUGCCAACAGCAGCAGUGAGUUCGAGCUGCAAAACAGCAGCAGCCUCUUCGACGGCAGCAUCUUCCAGUGGUUGGAGUUGUUUCCAAGCAAAGGCGCCCAGCACCAUUUCGACGGCGAGCCGGAGGAUCUGAAGUGGUCCGAGUACCUCAACGGCACGAUCGGCUCCGAUGAUGGAUUGCUCGGAGAGAUCAAAAAGGAGUAGAAGAAGAUUCUUGUGACAUGACCCAACCAAAUGAAGGAAGCAGUUCAUUUAACCACAGUAUCAGACUUCAGAUUGUUUGCAGUUUCUAGGCUUUGAUAGAAGAAAUGAUGCAGAAUCCAGGAAAGGAAAAUGUUGACUUUUUUUGGCAGCCAACUACUGGUUAAGAUGUCUAGAAAAGUCAGAACUUGCAAAUGAAGGAAAAAAAGUAAGAG
RNA transcript from Musa acuminata AAA Group (dessert banana), 1132 nucleotides. It is a transcript of the gene named transcription factor MYB61-like, with no coding region annotated. Lineage: Eukaryota; Viridiplantae; Streptophyta; Magnoliopsida; Zingiberales; Musaceae. The record is from RefSeq and is a predicted model, not a curated record. The transcript has 4 exons.